AACAGGAUUAGAUACCCUGGUAGUCCACGCCCUAAACGAUGUACACUAGUUGUUGUGAGGCUCGACCUUGCAGUAAUGCAGUUAACACAUUAAGUGUACCGCCUGGGGAGUACGGUCGCAAGAUUAAAACUCAAAGGAAUAGACGGGGACCCGCACAAGCGGUGGAGCAUGUGGUUUAAUUCGACGAUACACGAAGAACCUUACCUGGACUUGACAUAGUAAGAAUGAUUUAGAGAUAGAUUAGUGUCUGCUUGCAGAAACUUGCAUACAGGUGCUGCACGGCUGUCGUCAGCUCGUGUCGUGAGAUGUUGGGUUAAGUCCCGCAACGAGCGCAACCCUCGUCCUUAGUUGCUAACAGUUCGGCUGAGAACUCUAAGGAGACUGCCUACGCAAGUAGGAGGAAGGUGAGGAUGACGUCAAGUCAUCAUGGCCCUUACGUCCAGGGCUACACACGUGCUACAAUGGGGUAUACAAAGAGCAGCAAUACGGUGACGUGGAGCAAAUCUCAAAAAUGCCUCCCAGUUCGGAUUGUAGUCUGCAACUCGACUACAUGAAGUUGGAAUCGCUAGUAAUCGUAGAUCAGCUAUGCUACGGUGAAUACGUUCCCGGGUCUUGUACUCACCGCCCGUCACGCCAUGGGAGUUGAACUCAUUCGAAGCGGGGAUGCUAAAGUAGCUACCUUCCACAGUGGAUUCAGCGACUGGGGUGAAGUCGUAACAAGGUAACC
Molecule: ribosomal RNA, 727 nt
Filed under: uncultured bacterium
Lineage: Bacteria
Description: bacterial SSU rRNA
Rfam family: Bacterial small subunit ribosomal RNA
Source: RNAcentral